CGCGAAUAUGUCCCGUUCUACGAAGUUCAGGCGAACGUGUUUUGUUGUAGAUUUUACGAACACUCCUGCAAACACGGCAAACGCUCCAGAAGCAGUGAAUUUUUACAGAUUCCCAGCGUGGGCCCACUUUGGUGAGCGCCGUCAAACGUGGAUCCGCUUGGUCCGUAGGCAGAGGUUGAAGAAAAGGCGCGCACAUGCGCCAGGGCCCUCUUCGAGGACUACCCCUGCUGCACCAACCGUGGGCAAGCCUACGGACCAGCUGUUGCGCAAUGCAGCCAGCGGCGGCCAAGAUGAGGGAGCCCAGGAAUUUUUUGAACAGAACACAAGAGAGGUAUGACAGGUCACAUACUGCAUAUGCAGCUAUGUAAAGUAUUUAAAUGAAUUAUGCUUGCAUGUUCUGCAUUUAAAUGAAUGAUGGGAGGAUGUCCCUGGCUAAACAAUGUCUUUCCCACGAUCUCUUCUUUUGCUG
Dermacentor silvarum is the source of this 469-nucleotide long non-coding RNA. RefSeq lists it as uncharacterized. Lineage: Eukaryota; Metazoa; Arthropoda; Arachnida; Ixodida; Ixodidae. The transcript has 3 exons. The record is from RefSeq and is a predicted model, not a curated record.